AAACUGCGAAUGGCUCAUUAAAUCAGUUAUCGUUUAUUUGAUAGUACCUUACUACUUGGAUACCUGUGGUAAUUCUAGAGCUAAUACAUGCUAAAAACCCCGACUUCGGAAGGGGUGUAUUUAUUAGAUAAAAAACCAAUGCCCUUCGGGGCUCCUUGGUGAUUCAUAAUAACUUCUCAGAUCGCAUGGCCUUGCGCCGGCGACGGUUCAUUCAAAUUUCUGCCCUAUCAACUUUCGAUGGUAAGGUAUUGGCUUACCAUGGUUUCUACGGGUAACGGGGAAUUAGGGUUCGAUUCCGGAGAGUUAGCCUGAGAAACGGCUAACACAUCCAAGGAAGGCAGCAGGCGCGCAAAUUACCCAAUCCUGAUACAGGGAGGUAGUGACAAUAAAUACUGAUACAGGGCUCUUUUGGGUCUUGUAAUCGGAAUGAGUACAAUUUAAACCUCUUAACGAGGAACAAUUGGAGGGCAAGUCUGGUGCCAGCAGCCGCGGUAAUUCCAGCUCCAAUAGCGUAUAUUAAAGUUGUUGCAGUUAAAAAGCUCGUAGUUGAACCUUUGGCCUGGCUGGCAGGUCCGCCUCACCGCGUGCACUUGUCCGGCCGGGCCUUUUCUUCUGGAGAACCGCAUGCCCUUCACUGGGUGUGUUGGGGACCAGGACUUUUACUUUGAAAAAAUUAGAGUGUUCAAAGCAGGCCUUUGCUCGAAUAUUACAGCAUGGAAUAAUAAAAUAGGACGUGCGGUUCUAUUUUGUUGGUUUCUAGGACCGCCGUAAUGAUUAAUAGGGACAGUCGGGGGCAUCAGUAUUCAAUUGUCAGAGGUGAAAUUCUUGGAUUUAUUGAAGACUAACUACUGCGAAAGCAUUUGCCAAGGAUGUUUUCAUUAAUCAGUGAACGAAAGUUAGGGGAUCGAAGACGAUCAGAUACCGUCGUAGUCUUAACCAUAAACUAUGCCGACUAGGGAUCGGGCGGUGUUAUUAUUUUGACUCGCUCGGCACCUUACGAGAAAU
RNAcentral lists this ribosomal RNA (1005 nucleotides) under Helminthosporium velutinum. Its description in RNAcentral is "SSU rRNA". It matches the Rfam family "Eukaryotic small subunit ribosomal RNA", at positions 84 to 1098 of the family's 1831-position model. Lineage: Eukaryota; Fungi; Ascomycota; Dothideomycetes; Pleosporales; Massarinaceae. The record is from RNAcentral.